RNAcentral lists this ribosomal RNA (253 nucleotides) under uncultured bacterium. Its description in RNAcentral is "partial 16S ribosomal RNA". It matches the Rfam family "Bacterial small subunit ribosomal RNA", at positions 524 to 776 of the family's 1533-position model. The record is from RNAcentral.
UACGUAGGGUGCGAGCGUUAAUCGGAAUUACUGGGCGUAAAGCGUGCGCAGGCGGUUUCGCAAGUCAGAUGUGAAGGCCCCGGGCUCAACCUGGGAAUUGCAUUUGAAACUACGAGGCUAGAGUGUGUCAGAGGGGGGUAGAAUUCCGCGUGUAGCAGUGAAAUGCGUAGAGAUGUGGAGGAAUACCGAUGGCGAAGGCAGCCCCCUGGGAUAACACUGACGCUCAUGCACGAAAGCGUGGGGAGCAAACAGG